CUACGGGUCGCAGCAGUGGGGAAUAUUGCACAAUGGAGGAAACUCUGAUGCAGCAACGCCGCGUGGAGGAUGACACUUUUCGGAGCAUAAACUCCUUUUAUAUAGGAAGAAGAUGACGGUACUAUAUGAAUAAGCGCCGGCUAACUCCGUGCCAGCAGCCGCGGUAAUACGGAGGACGCAAGCGUUACUCGGAAUCACUGGGCGUAAAGAGCGUGUAGGCGGAUUAAAAAGUCAGAAGUGAAAUCCUAUAGCUUAACUAUAGAACUGCUUCUGAAACUCUUAAUCUAGAAUAUGGGAGAGGUAGAUGGAAUUUCUGGUGUAGGGGUAAAAUCCGUAGAGAUCAGAAGGAAUACCGAUUGCGAAGGCGAUCUACUAGAACAUUAUUGACGCUGAGACGCGAAAGCGUGGGGAGCAAACAGGCUUAGAUACCCCCGUAGUC
Molecule: ribosomal RNA, 439 nt
Filed under: uncultured bacterium
Lineage: Bacteria
Description: partial 16S ribosomal RNA
Rfam family: Bacterial small subunit ribosomal RNA
Source: RNAcentral